RNAcentral lists this ribosomal RNA (494 nucleotides) under uncultured bacterium. RNAcentral describes it as "partial 16S ribosomal RNA". It matches the Rfam family "Bacterial small subunit ribosomal RNA", at positions 28 to 507 of the family's 1533-position model. The record is from RNAcentral.
GACGAAUGCUGGCGGCGUGCUUAACACAUGCAAGUCGAACGGUGAAGCGCCUUCCUUUUUGGUGGGUGUGGAUGAGUGGCGAACGGGUGAGUAACACGUGAGUAACCUGCCCCCUUCUUCUGGAUAACCGCAUGAAAGUGUGGCUAAUACGGGAUAUUCUGGGUCUGUCGCAUGAUGGGUCUGGGAAAGAUAUUGUUUCGGUGGGGGAUGGGCUCGCGGCCUAUCAGCUUGUUGGUGGGGUGAUGGCCUACCAAGGCGGUGACGGGUAGCCGGCCUGAGAGGGUGGACGGUCGCACUGGGACUGAGACACGGCCCAGACUCCUACGGGAGGCAGCAGUGGGGAAUAUUGCACAAUGGGCGCAAGCCUGAUGCAGCGACGCCGCGUGAGGGAUGGAGGCCUUCGGGUUGUGAACCUCUUUCGCCAGUGAAGCAGGCCUGCCUCGUUUGUGGGUGGGUUGACGGUAGCUGGAUAAGAAGCGCCGGCUAACUACGUG